This 73-nucleotide transfer RNA is filed under the name Hordeum vulgare. Its description in RNAcentral is "tRNA-Lys". It matches the Rfam family "tRNA". From Rfam's summary of the family: Transfer RNA (tRNA) molecules are approximately 80 nucleotides in length. Their secondary structure includes four short double-helical elements and three loops (D, anti-codon, and T loops). Lineage: Eukaryota; Viridiplantae; Streptophyta; Magnoliopsida; Poales; Poaceae. RNAcentral also lists the same sequence under 1 other name. The record is from RNAcentral.
GGGUGUAUAGCUCAGUUGGUAUAGCAUUGGGUGUUUAACCUAAUGUUCGCAGGUUCAACUCUUGCUAUACCCA